GACGAACGCUGGCGGCGUGCUUAACACAUGCAAGUCGAACGGGAAGGCCCUGCUUUUGUGGGGUGCUCGAGUGGCGAACGGGUGAGUAACACGUGAGUAACCUGCCCUUGACUUUGGGAUAACUUCAGGAAACUGGGGCUAAUACCGGAUAGGAGCUCCUGCUGCAUGGUGGGGGUUGGAACGUUUCGGCGGUUGGGGAUGGACUCGCGGCUUAUCAGCUUGUUGGUGGGGUAGUGGCUUACCCAGGCUUUGACGGGUAGCCGGCCUGAGAGGGUGACCGGCCACAUUGGGACUGAGAUACGGCCCAGACUCCUACGGGAGGCAGCAGUGGGGAAUAUUGCACAAUGGGCGGAAGCCUGAUGCAGCAACGCCGCGUGCGGGAUGACGGCCUUCGGGUUGUAAACCGCUUUCGCCUGUGACGAAGCGUGAGUGACGGUAAUGGGUAAAGAAGCACCGGCUAACUACGUG
This 468-nucleotide ribosomal RNA is filed under the name uncultured bacterium. RNAcentral's name for it is "partial 16S ribosomal RNA". It matches the Rfam family "Bacterial small subunit ribosomal RNA", at positions 28 to 507 of the family's 1533-position model. The record is from RNAcentral.